UGUUAGCACCCCAAUUUAACAGCCUGUUAUCGCUCUCUGACAGUGUUCUCGCGCUCGCUCUCAAGAUCCACACGCGACUUAAGCUUUCAAGCUCGAACUUGCAUUAACAUACAUUUUAAUUACGUUUCAACCCCCGUUGCAACCAGCCGCGAAUGUAAACUUGUUAAACCGAAAUAAAUGCAUAUGUACAUAUGUAUGUAUGUAUAUGCAUACAGCGAGACGCGCUCGACUUUAUUCUUCGCUUGCACUUCGAAUACUUGUUUGCACGUGGACCUUCUUCGGUCAGAGCUUUGGAUCCACUACCUCUGCGAUCCGCCCACCCACCAACAACUUGUGAACGUCUUCUUUCAUGUUCUUAAGACGGGACCAUUCAACAAUGAUGAUGAUUUUUGACAUAAAAUUAAAAAAUACGAGUAUGUACAAGUAUGUAUGGUUCUGAUUAUUGUGCGCGAUUCCGUUUAUAAUCAUUUUCUUUACCAUCAAUAUUGUGGUUGGCAUCCAUCAUUUAGUUGGCACUUCAAAGAGCGCAUUUCAUAAGACUUAAUUAUGGGAAUUAAUUGUCUUUGAAUGAAUAAUGUUAAUUGAUUUGUUCGCGUCCAUUUACACACAUAUCCGAGUGCUUUUAUAUAUGGUACAUACAUACAUACAAACAUAUGUAUAAGUAUAUACAUUUGUAUGUGGGUAUACAAAAUUGAAGUAAUCAAUGCUCCUUAUGGAGUCCUUCAGACGUGCGUGUCUCUGACUGCAAUUUCCCAAUUAAUUAAUCGAAUGCCAAUUCAUUGCUGUUUAUAAAAACAAAAAUUCCACAAACGAAAUAAAACAAGUGAUAAUGCCAUUUGUCCGGGCCUAUAAACCUUUUCAAUACCCUCUAAAUCGACAAAAUAUCUAGCUAUUCGAAUUGUGGGUCCUUCCACAUAAUACCAAUUCGUUGGGAAUAAAAGGUAUCUAUAUAAAACCAGAAUACCCUAGUAGUAUAAGUGCCGAAAGACCCACCUUUUAUACCAGUCGCUGCGGUAAAGGAUGUGCAGGGAUAGCAUUGAUCCUUUCUGGGCAAAUACUCGUACAAUAUACCUUGGUCCUUUGCUGUGGCUGGGCAUAGAGAAUAAAUGUACAAAUGUAUAAACGCUUUCGGUUAUUGCAACCGCGAUAAUUUAACAACAUGGCACGUAUUUCAUUUCGACGUGCUAGUGGCUCUCGUUCUGUAAUGAGCGAUGGUUCGAGAGAUUAAGAUGGAUGGUAAUUGUGAUCCACCUUUAACCGGACAAAUUGUAUCUCUCUCUGUAUCUUUCUAUUUCUUUGAAAUAUUAUACACGGCUAAAAUAUCUUUACUUUGCUGGACACUGGCACACUUUUUGAUUUAUGCGGGUAGUUUCUAUUGCUGUUCUUAAAAAGGAAUACAUACAUAUGUACAUUCUUACGUAUUCCCAAUAAUAAAAUAUGGUCAUAUCUUGUAUUUCUAGUGAAGACGUUGCUCAGAUAUGAUCUAGAAGAUCUAGAAGUGUUUUGAUUGCCCCAUGUAUUCCAUUUGAAAGAUCUGCAAAUCCGCGUACAGGAUUAUGCACUGCGCUUGAAGUGUAAUGAUUAAUUUAAUGAGUAAUUUGAGUAAUUAUUCAAGGUGGCUAUUUAUCGUAUAUUUACGAGUAUGUAUUAAAUGUACGUUUACGUAACCGCACAAUUAUAAGUAAAUUUAAUUAAUUAAAAUGUUGCUAUGUGUCACAGAAAUGUUUAAUGUCAUUUUCCUGCUGCUGACACAGACGGACGGACUAAAUCGACUCGGUUCUGCAUUUAUUUAGAAUUGAAUUACUUUACCGUGCAAUAUGCCACGGUGUUGUGUUUCGGCACAAGCUCCUUCUCGGGUCUGUGGACCGAUUUUAGAGCCCUCCCUCUGCCAUUCCGUAACCCCUUAAAUGUCCUUCGAAAUUGUGUCAUUUAAUAUUCAAUAAUUUCCCCAAAAAGCUGAUAAAUCAGAUCCAAACACUUUGUAGCUUCGGCUUACCGUCUGGGAAAUAUUAGGCUUUCAAAUGCAAAGCUUAUCCAUUUUUGCGGUAUUUAUUUUCAAAAUUUUGACAGGAAAACAUUUCUUUUUGUAUGUUUUAAAAACUUUCAUUGAUUAGGCGUCGUUAAAGGUAUUUACCAGAACAAAAAUAUAUUUAUUUAAUGUUUUGGCAACGUUAAAAUUUAAAACAAUUUCUUUAAUGGUUCGAGUAAGUAAAUAUAUCCGUUUAGUGGCUUUAGAUCCCACAAAUAUAAGCUACUAAUCAUGAAAACUGUUCAAGGAAUUAAGAGUUUUGUGCGAAUUGUAUUUAAACAAAUAUCUGGCUUUGAAGGUAAUUUUUUAUUGAAUUUGUAUUUAUUAUUGGCUUAUUGUUUUUGUUUUCUCACGCAAUGUUUCCACUGACGGCAGUUUUUGAUGGUCGGUCAGGACAUGCCCUUUGCUGCCCGUCCCCUGUCCGGGGUCCAGUGUCCUUGCCCACAGGAUUCCCCACGCCCCGCCCCGUAUACAGACCCUAUGCAUAUAUAUGCGCUACUUAUGACUGUGUCUGUGGGAGUAGGAGGUUUGUAUAUGCACAAUAGUGGAUGUCCCUGCCCAGGAGUGGCAGGACCGGCACUAAGACGGAGGCUAGGAAUUCAGAAACAGGAACAGGACCGGCACCGGGACGAAGACGGAGACGGGAAUGGAGACCAGAACCAAGACGACAACGAUGAGGACGAAGCUGUGUGUGAAGAUGCGAAAUUGCCUGUGAAAUAUUUUCUAGGUACACACAUAGACACAUCAAAACGA
Drosophila pseudoobscura is the source of this 2782-nucleotide long non-coding RNA. RefSeq lists it as uncharacterized. The transcript is spliced from 3 exons. Lineage: Eukaryota; Metazoa; Arthropoda; Insecta; Diptera; Drosophilidae. The record is from RefSeq and is a predicted model, not a curated record.